Molecule: ribosomal RNA, 581 nt
Filed under: Umbilicaria cylindrica
Lineage: Eukaryota; Fungi; Ascomycota; Lecanoromycetes; Umbilicariales; Umbilicariaceae
Description: partial 18S ribosomal RNA
Rfam family: 5.8S ribosomal RNA (bases 221-374)
Source: RNAcentral
UAAAAGUCGUAACAAGGUUUCCGUAGGUGAACCUGCGGAAGGAUCAUUACCGAGAGAGGGUCCUUCGGGCCCGAACCUCCAACCCUUUGUGUACCUUACCUUUGUUGCUUCGGCGGGCCCGCUGGGGCGACUCACCGCCGGUGAUGAGCCGGUGAGCGCCCGCCGGAGGCCCUCAAAACUCCGUGUGUUAGUGUCGUCUGAGUACCACACAAUAGUUAAAAACUUUCAACAACGGAUCUCUUGGUUCUGGCAUCGAUGAAGAACGCAGCGAAAUGCGAUAAGUAAUGUGAAUUGCAGAAUUCAGUGAAUCAUCGAAUCUUUGAACGCACAUUGCGCCCCCUGGUAUUCCGGGGGGCAUGCCUGUUCGAGCGUCAUUACACCUCUCAAGCCCUGCUUGGUAUUGGGCCGUCGUCCCCCGGGACGGGCCUGAAAGUGAGUGGCGGUGCAGCCUGACUUCGAGCGCAGUAACUUAAAAACCCGCUUCGGAAGCCUUCAGGCUGGGCCGGCCAGACAACCCAACCGUAUUUCCUAUGGUUGACCUCGGAUCAGGUAGGGAUACCCGCUGAACUUAAGCAUAUCAU